AUUGAACGCUGGCGGCAGGCUUAACACAUGCAAGUCGAGCGGAGUGAUGGUGCUUGCACUAUCACUUAGCGGCGGACGGGUGAGUAAUGCUUAGGAAUCUGCCUAUUAGUGGGGGACAACAUCUCGAAAGGGAUGCUAAUACCGCAUACGUCCUACGGGAGAAAGCAGGGGAUCACUUGUGACCUUGCGCUAAUAGAUGAGCCUAAGUCGGAUUAGCUAGUUGGUGGGGUAAAGGCCUACCAAGGCGACGAUCUGUAGCGGGUCUGAGAGGAGGAUCCGCCACACUGGGACUGAGAAACGGCCCAGACUCCUACGGGAGGCAGCAGUGGGGAAUAUUGGACAAUGGGGGGAACCCUGAUCCAGCCAUGCCGCGUGUGAAGAAGGCCUUAUGGUUGUAAAGCACUUUAAGCGAGGAGGAGGCUCUUUUGGUUAAUACCCAGGAUGAGUGGACGUUACUCGCAGAAUAAGCACCGGCUAACUCUGUGCCAGCCGCCGCCGUAA
RNAcentral lists this ribosomal RNA (501 nucleotides) under uncultured bacterium. Its description in RNAcentral is "partial 16S ribosomal RNA". It matches the Rfam family "Bacterial small subunit ribosomal RNA", at positions 30 to 523 of the family's 1533-position model. The record is from RNAcentral.